UUGCUCGUGCACGCGCAUGCAAGGGCGAGAGAAAUUACACGAGGCCUGCGUACCAGUUAAACAUAAUUUUAAUAAAUUUAAGGCGUUUUUAUUUAUUUCUGUAAAAAUUACAAAGUUAUCUGCAAUGUAUAAAAAAUAGGUUCAUGUUUUUAGAUUAAAGCAACUGCGUGCAAUUGCUAUCGUAAUAAGAACAUUUGAGAGAAAUUUUAAGAAAUCUUUAGGCGGUUGUUUUACAUACAAGGUUCAAAGUAAAUGCUGUCAAGUUGACAUACAACGUUUUACAUAAGAGACUACGCAAUGAACUGGUAUUUGGAAAGGAAAGUCACGUGGAAAACGAGUGACGACACUACAAAACAUUUCCUUUUAUGUUCCCAAAAAUAUGGGUUGAGAAUGUUAUAAGGUGUAUACUUCAUUAGGCCUCAACAAGCCACCCAGUUUGAUAUUUCAUUCAUGUCCAUGUCACAAACAGAGCAGACGUUGCAGUUUCAGUACUUUGGGUUACAGGUAUGUUUAAAUCUCUAAUCCAAAGUAUGAGCAAUAUCAUGCAUUCCUUAUGCAGUGUAAAUCAUUUGCAGCAGAGUAUUUUGUUUAUUUACAAUAACAAUAGGCAACACGAGUGACUGUUGGCGAUGCAACCACGUUGGGUAUAGUUUAACUUCAUGCAAAUGAACAGAGAUGCAGUUCAAAGACUUGAACUACGAGUGUAUCUGCCUAAAGCUAUUUGACUCUUUGGUCUGCCUAGUACAAUGGACAGCAGUCAAAUAGCACAGC
Non-coding RNA from Misgurnus anguillicaudatus (oriental weatherfish), 771 nucleotides. Lineage: Eukaryota; Metazoa; Chordata; Actinopteri; Cypriniformes; Cobitidae. The record is from RefSeq and is a predicted model, not a curated record.